UAAUACGGCAUACGUCCUACGGGAGAAAGCGGGGGACCUUCGGGCCUUGCGCUAUCAGAUGAGCCUAGGUCGGAUUAGCGAGUUGGUGGGGUAAUGGCUCACCAAGGCUAGGAUCCGUAACUGGUCUGAGAGGGUGAUCAGUCACACUGGAAGUGAGACACGGUCCACCCUCCUACGGGAGGCAGCAGUGGGGAAUAUUGGACAAUGGGCGAAAGCCGGAUCCAAAAGAGGCCGCGUGUGUGAAGAAGGUCUUCG
This 255-nucleotide ribosomal RNA is filed under the name uncultured bacterium. Its description in RNAcentral is "partial 16S ribosomal RNA". It matches the Rfam family "Bacterial small subunit ribosomal RNA", at positions 164 to 420 of the family's 1533-position model. The record is from RNAcentral.